CGAACGCUUUUUCUUUCACCGGAGCUUGCUCCACCGAAAGAAAAAGAGUGGCGAACGGGUGAGUAACACGUGGGUAACCUGCCCAUCAGAAGGGGAUAACACUUGGAAACAGGUGCUAAUACCGUAUAACACUAUUUUCCGCAUGGAAGAAAGUUGAAAGGCGCUUUUGCGUCACUGAUGGAUGGACCCGCGGUGCAUUAGCUAGUUGGUGAGGUAACGGCUCACCAAGGCAACGAUGCAUAGCCGACCUGAGAGGGUGAUCGGCCACACUGGGACUGAGACACGGCCCAGACUCCUACGGGAGGCAGCAGUAGGGAAUCUUCGGCAAUGGACGAAAGUCUGACCGAGCAACGCCGCGUGAGUGAAGAAGGUUUUCGGAUCGUAAAACUCUGUUGUUAGAGAAGAACAAGGAUGAGAGUAAAAUGUUCAUCCCUUGACGGUAUCUAACCAGAAAGCCACGGCUAACUACGUGCCAGCAGCCGCGGUAAUACGUAGGUGGCAAGCGUUGUCCGGAUUUAUUGGGCGUAAAGCGAGCGCAGGCGGUUUCUUAAGUCUGAUGUGAAAGCCCCCGGCUCAACCGGGGAGGGUCAUUGGAAACUGGGAGACUUGAGUGCAGAAGAGGAGAGUGGAAUUCCAUGUGUAGCGGUGAAAUGCGUAGAUAUAUGGAGGAACACCAGUGGCGAAGGCGGCUCUCUGGUCUGUAACUGACGCUGAGGCUCGAAAGCGUGGGGAGCGAACAGGAUUAGAUACCCUGGUAGUCCACGCCGUAAACGAUGAGUGCUAAGUGUUGGAGGGUUUCCGCCCUUCAGUGCUGCAGCAAACGCAUUAAGCACUCCGCCUGGGGAGUACGACCGCAAGGUUGAAACUCAAAGGAAUUGACGGGGGCCCGCACAAGCGGUG
This 900-nucleotide ribosomal RNA is filed under the name Enterococcus casseliflavus. RNAcentral's name for it is "bacterial SSU rRNA". It matches the Rfam family "Bacterial small subunit ribosomal RNA", at positions 63 to 934 of the family's 1533-position model. The record is from RNAcentral. Lineage: Bacteria; Bacillati; Bacillota; Bacilli; Lactobacillales; Enterococcaceae.